Molecule: unclassified non-coding RNA, 425 nt
Filed under: soil metagenome
Description: partial contains 5.8S ribosomal RNA, internal transcribed spacer 2, and large subunit ribosomal RNA
Rfam family: 5.8S ribosomal RNA (bases 1-120)
Source: RNAcentral
GAUGAAGAACGUAGCGAAAUGCGAUAAGUAGUGUGAAUUGCAGAAUUCCGUGAAUCAUCGAAUCUUUGAACGCACAUUGCGCCUUCUGGUAUUCCGGAAGGCAUGCCUGUUCGAGAGUCAUUAACAACCGUUUCGAUCCCUUUCUUUCAGAAAUUACAAAGAGGAGAAGGGUUUGGUUAUGGUGGAGGAGGGAAAGGGAGCGUUUAGCCUGUAAAAAAAGAGGCUGUGUUCCGCCUCCCCCCCAAAAUUGUACAGGCGGUCGUGUGCGCCCACGCAUCGAGGUGUUGUAAAAGCUGCCACGGCACUUUUCACCUGUGCAGUGCGAGAUUGGCCAGCCGGUUUAAAAACCCCUCCAAACAAUCAAAGGUUGACCUCGGAUCAGGUAGGGAUACCCGCUGAACUUAAGCAUAUCAAUAAGCGGAGGA